RNAcentral lists this long non-coding RNA (457 nucleotides) under Elaeis guineensis (African oil palm). Its description in RNAcentral is "long non-coding RNA (EGUI_LNC063294)". The record is from RNAcentral. Lineage: Eukaryota; Viridiplantae; Streptophyta; Magnoliopsida; Arecales; Arecaceae.
GUGAUAGGUUUAGCGGUUUCCUGAUUAUUUUGAAUUUCUUUUGUUGAUAUGCAGAUAGUUUUUAAUAUGCUUUUAAAGAGCUUGACUUCGGUAGCUCAACAAUUUCCAAAUCCGAGAAACCUUGUUCGACACGGUGGACGCACUAGAAGUUCUAAUGGUACAGUCCAUGAUCUAUGAUGUGAACUUACAAACCUGAAGUGGGGUUUCGUGCCGUUGUCUUCUAUCAAGUCAAACUAGUAGUAUCGGAGGCAUUACUGCAGUGAAAGAAAGUUCAGUUGUGAUUUAUAUGUUUGUGUCCCACCUUAAUCGGCUUUGUAAGCUAUGAUGAGAAUUUAGUUAUUUAUCCAAACCUAUACUAGCACCAUGAGUGAGUCAAUUAAUCUGUUGACGAAAUAUUCUUAGACAGACUAAGUCUAUUCAAUUGAUGAGAAAUUUAUGAUAGACUAAGUCUAUCUAA